AUUGAACGCUGGCGGCAUGCUUUACACAUGCAAGUCGAACGGCAGCGGGGGCUUCGGCCUGCCGGCGAGUGGCGAACGGGUGAGUAAUGCAUCGGAACGUGCCCAUGUCGUGGGGGAUAACGUAGCGAAAGCUACGCUAAUACCGCAUACGCCCUGAGGGGGAAAGCGGGGGAUUCUUCGGAACCUCGCGCGAUUGGAGCGGCCGAUGUCGGAUUAGCUAGUAGGUGAGGUAAAGGCUCACCUAGGCGACGAUCCGUAGCGGGUCUGAGAGGAUGAUCCGCCACACUGGGACUGAGACACGGCCCAGACUCCUACGGGAGGCAGCAGUGGGGAAUUUUGGACAAUGGGCGCAAGCCUGAUCCAGCCAUGCCGCGUGAGUGAAGAAGGCCUCGGUUGUAAGAC
This 402-nucleotide ribosomal RNA is filed under the name uncultured bacterium. Its description in RNAcentral is "bacterial SSU rRNA". It matches the Rfam family "Bacterial small subunit ribosomal RNA", at positions 28 to 431 of the family's 1533-position model. The record is from RNAcentral.